Non-coding RNA from Podarcis lilfordi (Lilford's wall lizard), 10083 nucleotides. The record is from the annotation of a GenBank genome assembly. Lineage: Eukaryota; Metazoa; Chordata; Lepidosauria; Squamata; Lacertidae.
GAAUUUAGAUGGAAGGAGUCCAGAUCUUACAGCAUGGUCAUCUCAAGUAAGGCUUGUUCCCCACAGCAGUACAGUACUGGAGACCUGACCUCAUUGGCUCCCAUCCCAAAUCCAUGGAAGUCUCUGCAGUUCUAACCCCAGUAAUGUUCAGGGGUGCCAACUCAAGUAAAAUAUGAGGGGGAGGGGAGUGCCAGGUAAGCCUCACCCCACAUAAUUGAUCACAAGACACAGCACACACAAACACACCAUUUGAAUGGCGAUGCCCAUCAGCUUGGGUGGGCAGCCUCCUCAAAUAUUUUAUGGGGGCGGGGGGUGAAGGGACCUUGGCCCCUAGGAGUUGGCUUCUAUACUAAUGUUGACGCUUCAACAAGGGUGGAGGUGAAAAGGAAUUCAGUCAGAGCAGGCUGGGGGUGGACAGGGGGAAGGCUACACACCCUGCUCCUGGACCUUUGCAAUGACACAAAAUCAUAGCAAUGUUUGUACAACAAGAUUGCUGCACCAGUACAACAACAAGCAGGUCUCAUCCUGUGGUGAGUUUUGGGAUCAGUCUUCAGCUGCAGCCCAACAAACCCAAAGAACUUGAGUAUAUAACCAAGGUGGUCUAUCUCCAUUCAAAUCAGAGGGCAGCAGGAGCAAAAGCAAAAUGGAAGAUCACUCUACAAUAGAGGAGAUACUGCAGGUAAAUAGUAAUCUGUUGUUUGAAAACUUCGAGUGCAGCUUUUGCCAACCUGGUGACCUGCAGAUGUUUUGGAUUGCAACUCCUACCAAUCUCAGACAGAAGGGCUGUGAUGGCUGGUGCUGAUGGAUGUUGUAGUCCAAAACACCUGGAGGCCAGCAGGUUGGGGUAGGCUGUCCUAAUAUCUUCUGACGAACCUGAUCUUAGGGAUCGGCUUAAUACACAAGUAGCAACACAUCUUGCCAAACACAGUUCUACUCCUGGAGAGAGAAGUAGAAUUAGCUGCCCCAAUUGCCAGCCUUUACCUCUGUCCCUGGGACACGGAUGGCACUGUGGGUUAAACCACAGAGCUUAGGACUUGCCGAUCAGAAGGUCAGUAGUUUGAAUCCCCCUGACGGGGUGAGCUCCCAUUGCUCAGUCCCUGCUCCUGCCAACCUAGCAGUUCGAAAGCAUGUCAAAGUGCAAGUAGAUAAAUAGGUACCACUCCAGCGGGAAGGUAAACGGCGUUUCCGUGUGCUGCUCUGGUUCGCCAGAAGCAGCUUAGUCAGGCUGGCCACAUGACCCGGAAGCUGUACACCGGCUCCCUCGGCCAAUAAAGUGAGAUGAGCGCCGCAACCCCAGAGUCGGUCACGACUGGACCUAAUGGUCAGGGGUCCCUUUACCUUUACCUUUUCACCUCUGUCCCUACAGUCUGUGGCAGGAUUGGGGAAUCUGUGGCUCACUGAAAGAUAUUGAACUCCAACUCCCUUCUUCCCUGACCUUUGGCUAUGCUGACUGAGGCUGAUGAUGGUUGCGUAGCAACAACAUCUGGAGGGCCCACAGCAGCUGGUUCAGCAGCUGGUAGCUGGAGGGGGACAGACUUUCCCAGCCAGAUGGUUGCAUUUGAUUCUUGCCAGCUUUCCGAAGGUCACACUUGUACCUUUGUUUGCCAGGCUGUUUUCUACACAUCCCUCUCACUGUUGUCCAUCUAGGCAAGCAAGAAGCACGAUCAGAGUUCAAGGGCACAUUCCAGCUAGGCAAAUAUUAUUCAAGGACAAUUUGAAGCAGGGAUGAUGAAUGGUGUGGCACAGGUAGAGGGGCAUGGCUGAGAAAAGACUCCAAAUAACAGAUACAGUGGAGUGGUACCUUGGGUUACAUACACUUCAGGUUACAAACUCUGCUAACCGGGAAGUAGUAUCUUGGGUUAAGAAUUUUGCCCCAGGAUGAGAAUAAAAAUAGUGCAGUGGUGGCUUAGCGGCAACGGGAGGCCCCAUUAGCUGAAGUGGUACCUCCAGUUGAGAACGGUUUUAGGUUAAGAACAGCCCUCCGGAACGAAUUCAGUUCGUAACCUGAGGUACCACUGUACUGAUUUCAUUCAUUUGUAAGAUUUCUUACCUGCCCUUUGCCACAGGGUGGGUUACAACAAACUUAUCAUGAAAUUUAAAAAAGCUCAUUCAAUUGGAAAGAUAAGUAAAACAAUUCCAAUAUAGGUUAAACAAAACAGAAGAGAUGGGUCCACCCCCCCAAAAAAAAAUCUGUCAAGAUUGAGAGACCUGGAGUGCCUCAAGGAUGCCACUCAGUGGGGCGAGAGAGGCACCAGUCUACGUUCAUGCAUCAGAAGCAUGGAUCAGAAGCACAAGACAACCAAGGUCAGUGUCAAUUCUUUCUUUCUUUCUUUCUUUCUUUCUUUCUUUCUUUCUUUCUUUCUUUGACAUUUUAAUUUCAUGCCUACUACUGUAUAUAAAUGACCUGCUAUACAUGAAAACAUUUUAAAUACACCAACUAAGUUAACUUAGAGAUGAGCUUGUUCCUCCAUAGUUAUAACUGAUCUCUCCUGCUGGGUCCUAAGGAUUUCUAAACUCUUAGAGGAUGGAGCUAUUCCUCUGGGCUUGGAGACUAAAUAGAUCCUGAAAAGCAACUUUUCAAGCAUUUCACUAAUAUGAACAUGUUGUAGUCAGAAUGAAGUAUUUUUCAAAAAACACACAUUUCUCUUUUAAAUCAGGGCUUGUGGAGAGCAAAAGGACAUUCCAAGGGACCUGGUGAAUUUUAAUAAAAAUGUCACGUUUUGUUUAUUUGUUUGAGUAUUCAGCGGGCAGGGGCCGAGAAUAAACCACAUUACAGUAUUUUUCCAAUACAAAUGUCAUGUUCUGAAUGCCUCUACACCCAAUUUAUAAACUGGCAAAGGGAAUAUGUCAAUAAUAAAAAAUUAUCUUGAUUGCAUCUUGGUGGGGAAGCAGUGAGAUCCAGAUCCAGAAUGUUUUGAUGUCAGUGCCCAAAACUUUUGAAAUGAUUAAAAUUAUAAGCCAAUAUUUUUAAUUUUAUUAAAAUUCUAUUCAUAUCACUCAGAUUUAUGUUUUAUUCAACAUAUCAUUCCAUAUGCAUUUAUUUAUUUAUCGCAGAACCAGCUGUAGUAUACAUGAUGCAGCUGAUAUAUGGAUUUAAUAAAAAAAAAGCCAAGGAAAACAACAUUCAGAUGCUGGCACAGUGCUCCAUACAUCUAUGAAGUUCCUACAUGAAUGGUCGUCUCCUCUUCUGGGGUUCAGUAGAAAGGAUGGGUUCAUAGACAGGCACCCUUUUGCUGUCUCUUCCACUUAGCAAAGGCUUUGCUUCCACUAAGUGAAAAACCCUUGCUCCUAAAGGAAAUCCACAUACACACAGAGAAAUGUCUUGAUCGAAUGGAUCUCCCUUUCUGCAGGCACACUAGAAUCACUUAGCCAGAGAUGCUCCCUUAGGUGCUGUCUACAUAUUCCAGCCUAUCACGGGAGCUGCUUUUCUAUGAAUUCGCCCAACAGUGUUGCUGCCAUACUUAAAAGCCUGCAACCACAUGGGCGGGGCCCAGGGUCAGGAUCUUUCCUUCAGAAUAGGCACUACCCACCACUAUCACCACCAAGAGCAUGAGUACUAUUCUAGAGGAAAGACUCGCAUGAUAGACCUCAUUCACAUAUUCGCACACUUUAAAAAGUGACAGCUGCCCUGCUGUCAUGGAGAAGUUGGAGAAGUUGAUUCUAGGAUGGGACUAUGACAUGCUGAGGAAACCUGAGUCAGCUCCAGAUCUCGCCUGCAACAACUAAAUUAUCUGACAUUUGGCAGCCACUUGAAGCUAAGUGCAUUUGGAUCUGGACAGGAGAUUGCCUGGGGAUGUUGUGUACAUUGCACUGCCUUGAUUUCCAUGAUGCAAAAGAGGUGGGAUAUAAAUAUCCUCAAAAAAUAAAGGGAUUCGAGACAAGAUCAUCAAAUCCCAGGAUGUCAACUUCUGGGCCCAAACCAGGGAUAUUUUCAGCAGAUGGAUUAAUUACUUCUCCUCCCAUUUGGACUACUGCAGUGUGCUCUACAUGGGGCUACCCUUGAAAACAAUCUAGAAACUGCAGUUGGUGCAAAAUGUGACAGGCAGACUGCUGAGCUAAGCAGUGAGGUAAUACCAUGUGUUGCUGGUCCUAGAAGCAAUGCAUUGGCAGCCUGUGAGCUGGUGGGUCAAAAUCAAUCUGGUGGUAGAAGGCAGCUUGGGGCACAAGUACCUAAAACAUGCCUCUCCCAUUUCAACCAUCCUGAGCCUUAAGAGCAGCAGGGGUGGCCUUGCUCACAGUGUCAGCAAUGAGCAUGGCUAGAGGGCAGUGCCCUGAUUAUGAAACACCCUCCCUAUGGAAGUCUGCUUGUCCCUCUAUAUUACCAUCAGUUAAACACAAACUGAAAACAUUUUUGUCCACCAAGGCAUUUAGUAUGUGAACAGUGGGUAGGUUUUAAGCAGAUGGAAAUUGCUGUACAUGUUUUGAAAUGGCCUUUUGGUUGUUUUAAACUUUUGAAAUUGUUUUAAUUAGAAUGUUUUAAUUAGGAUGUUGCAUGGUUGCCCAAGACUCUUCAGAAGGCAGGGUAGAAGCAAAGUCAUAUUAAUAAUAAGAUGAUGAUGAUGAUGAUGCAUUUAUACAUACAUACACAACAAUGUGAUCAGUAGCCAGACAUGCACACUAGUGCCAUCAAUGCUCCACCUCAGUCACUGAGAUCCUCUAAUGAGGCACUUCUAUGGUUCCUCACACCUCUGAGGUUUAAUCAGCCUUUACUAGGGACCAAACUUUUAGUGUGGCAGACCCUGCCCUGUGGAACUCCCGGCCAGUAGAGGUUUGGAAGAAGCUAUUCCUGCCUUCUUUUAGACAUUGCCUAAAAAUUAAACAAGCCUUGGAAAUGUGAAUUUUCUUUUAUUUAUAGUGAGUUGGCCUGAUAUUUUUCCUGAUGCCUUAUUGAUGUUUUAAUAUUAUAAUUCUUGUAUAUGGUACACACCACCUUAUAUUUUUACAAAAAUGCAGGAAAGAAAGAAAGAAAGAAAGAACUUAGCACUUUACAAAGUAGCAUGAGUUUGAUGGUGUGGAUGUGGAGUGAUGGUUAGGCUGAAUGCCUGGACCCUAAUUCUUGGAAUAACCAGGCUAGUUUCUUAGGGAGGUGCUAGUCUGGGUGAUGGGCCAUUAAUGGGAACAAAGGAAGGGGCUCUGUGUUGCACCCCCUCCCUCAACUUGUCGGUAGUUGGAAGGGGAAAGGCAGAGUUGAGAGCAGAGAGUAGGAGUGUGUAAGCUAGAAGCUGGAGAAUAAGCAGGCUGAAACCUGUGGAGAAGAGCGAUGCCUAAUCUCUAUUUGGAUCCAAGGCUGUGCUAUGAGUGAAGCAAGACCCUCUUGGGGUAAUAAUGCUGUGAACCCCUCCAUUGUGGGCUCAGGCUGUAUAUGUGUGUAAAUAAACCAUAUAUCAUAAGACACCACAGUUUCUGCUAUAUCUAAUUCCAAAGGAAACAUGGUCCCUGGGUAAGCAUCUGAAACCCCUGGAAUCUCACACCUCUUGGAGAUUGGGUUGGCAUGCAUCAACGUGGAAGAAAGGGCUUCUGCCUCAAGGAGCUUACACUCUCCAUUUCGAGAGCAGAGGAGGCAACAGAAGGAAGAGGAGCAAAAGGAGAGACAUUUGUCAACGUGACACAAAUGCUAAACAGUGGUUCCCAAUGACAUCUGAGGCUCACAACAUAAACACUCUUGCUAUAUUAUGCUAGAUGGUAAAGAUGGAUAACAUAUGUUGAGAAGCCUUUAAAGUCACUUGUAUUAAUAGCUGUUGAAGUAAACAUAUGGGUUUGGAGGCUUUGUUUUUUGUUAAGCCCAUGCACCAUAUGGGAGUGUCACCAUCACCUCUGACAGCAGAGCAAAGAUACAAUAAUUAAAUUUCAGAAAAGUGUGUGUGUGUGUGUAAGAAACCAAUGAGGAAACAUUUUGAAAAUACACUAUGAAUAGAAGGAAACCCCAAGUAGAUGCUUUGUAGCAACUAAAAGAAAAAAGAAAAAGAUUGUUUGGAACAUGUGCACUAAAUACCACGAUAGAAGGAGGAUUUCAGGAUCUGCGAGGCAAGUCAUAUUAUACAAUAAGAGCCCACAGUCAUUUGAGAAGUCUGAGGCCACAUGGACACCAUACAUUUAAUGCACUGUUAUACAACUUUAAACAGCCAUGACUGCCCCAAAGAAUUAUGGGAGCUGUAAUUAUAUAGUAAUAAUAAUCUUAGAACAUAGAAGAGGGCAUGGCUGUGAGAGGAUAUACAGUAGCUGUCACUCUCAAGAAGGGACCCCUGCACUUCUGAAUUUGCCACUACACGGUUGUUUAUACAGUGCAGUAAAAGCAGGACAAAAAAGAAAGCUUCCUGGAACAUCUAUGGUAUGAAAAGUUACAGUCUUUUUUUCCAGGAAAGUACAGGUCAUGGACUUUUUGCAAAUGAAGCAGCGUAAGCCAGGACUUGUGCAAUGGUAUUGAAACUGUGAUUGUGUAUAACCGCUAAAUCAAAUGGAUGUCUAGAGGCAUCCCAAAUGAUUAAGAAGGUUUGUGUAAUUGCUGAGGGUUUUGGAUCUUGUGUUUAUAUUAAAACUCACUGACUUUAUUAGGGUCAGAGAUGGGAGACUAGGAAAUAAAAGCAUUCUCAAAACAUUUUUGUUUUGUGUAGCAACAAUAAUAUUCAGGAUAAGGUGCCAUUUUAUGAAAUACUGAUUAUAUUGUAAAGCAGUUGUUAAUUUCAUUUUAUUGUUUAUAAUUGUUUUUGAAUACUAAAUGUAUAUAAAUAUAAAUAAAUUGUUUUUUAUUUUUUUAAAAGGAAAAAAUUGCAAUGUAAAGAACACAUUUAAAAUAAAAAUGUUACUAACAUAAUAUGUUCUAAUCACUAGUGAACCCAGGACCUCUAUACACAACUGCCCAGGCUUGUGCCCCAGUGAAGUCACUUAAAUGCUGCUAACGCAGUGGUUUGACUUCACCCCCAGAGGCGUGCUCCAUUGUCUCUUGAGACAGACAGAUGCCCACAACAUAACACGUAAUUUGGACUCUACAGGGAAAGGGCUUUUUAAGCCAUGUGAAGAACGCUAGUUGUUUCAAGAAAGAAUGCAACAAUGCAACCUCCACAGUUCAAUCAGAAAGAGAGAAAGCAGAUUCAGAGAGAUUGAGGAGAAACCAACAUUUCUCGACAUUCGAAAGCAGAGACUUCCCAUGCGUCGGCACAACAUGUGGGAUAUUUGAUGAAGAACAGCACAAGCAUUCAUGUGGUUACUGAUGGAUAUGCAAAUGAAAUUAGGAACACAUUCUAGGGGGUUGCCCACAUUUCAGCAUUGUUUAGCUGUUUGUCUACCCCCCUGUCCCAGUUCAAUUUAGACCUAGGAAUGAAGAGGGGAAACUGCAAACAGUAAGACUGGGGGACACACUAUGGCUGCUUUUGCGGUGAAAGAAAAAACCUUCCUUGGACAGAAUGCACAUUUGAUUUUUAAAUGGUUUUAGUUUUUACCCCUCUCUGUAUCACUGUCUCCUCCAACCUGAUGCCCUCCAGAUGUUUUUGGACUGCAACUCCAAAACAUUUGCAAGGCACCAGGUUGGCAAGGCUGCUCUAUCAUAUUUACGAUCUUCACAAGAGAUUGAUCCCUAUAGCAGUGCCCUUUGUGUCACUUCUGAAAGGGUCUGCUGAGCUAGUACAGCCACAGAAACAUCAAGGAUCCUGUGUUGAUAUGUGCUCUUGGGUUGCCAAGUGAGCAAAUAAACGUCAAGAUUAGCAUGCAGAUCAGAUGAAAAACUGAUGGCAGCUGAUUUAGGACUGAUCCUGUUCUUAGCCUUUAAAGCAGAGCUUUCCAAACUGUGUGUUGCAACACAUUAGUGUGUCAGUUGCAGUGUGUACGUGUGUUUUGUGAACGCUUCCCACGCUUCUCCCAGGGCUGGAAAGGGGUCGGUUUAACCUCCAGUUUGCUCGUAAAACUGAAUUACUGUGUCAUGAAAUGAUGCAUGCCUAAAAAGCGUGUCACCAACAUGAAAAGAUUGGAAAGCUCUUCCUUAAGGUGUGAAUACUACUUCUGCAAUGUGAACAAAGCACUCCAAGUCAGAUCAGAGCCCCUAGAAAGGCUUGUUUUGGUCUGUCACUGUUUUUCUGUACUCUCUCCUCUCCUAAUACUAUAUCUCUAUGUUUUCCUAUGUUUCUCAAGAUCCAUGGAUUUUGCAUAAAGUGAGGUUGUCCAGAAUGCUGCCUUCAGAGCUCUGAAGAGGUGUGGAUGAUUUAACUUUUUUAAAAACCAUGCAUUUCUAUGGUAGAAAAUAAAAUCCUCUGGAGCUCUUCAGCACUCCAUGGGUAGCAUUCUGCACAGCUUCAGUCUGCAAUGCCUUCUGGAAGAUGUGCCCUCUCUCCAAACACAAACAAGUACCAGAAAGUUAGGCUGGCCAUUGUGAAGCUGCUAAUGUGUUUGAAAGUGUACAAUCAAGAAGACACCAUACUCAGCCACCUCUUAUUUAUUUUAAGGUAAGAAAGAGCAAGAAACAAACACUCCCCACUUCAAAAAUAUGAAACUAAUAUGAAGUUUGGACUUUUAGUUGGUGUAAUAAAGUAUUGCCCUAAUAUGGAUGAAAGUGAAAUCCUUUUGCUUCCCCCACAAAAGCACCUGGACCAAUUUGUCUGCCAUUUAGUAGGCUCAGUUCACUCUGGAGGGGUUCCUGUGCCUGGAAAUUUCAUCCACUUUUGCCAAAAAGGAAAAAAAAUGUGCGGCCACCCUUAGACUCCCUAGAAGAGUGAAUGAGGAUUACAGAGCUUUGUUUUAUGCAGAGCAGCUUAAAACCUGAUUCACAGAAUGAAGUUGCCAGACCACAGAGUGACUUACAAACAGAUUAGAUUUUUAAAAGAAAAGCAUUGGUACAGAUAGAAGCUGAAUAUCAGGGCUGGUGCCCACUCUUACUAUGUGCUACCCUACAGUGUCAGAGAUAGUUUCUGAGAUACACAGUUGGGGAGAGUGUUGUUGCAAUUAUCUCCUGGUUAGGGGCUUCCUAUAGGUAUCUGGCUGGCCACAGUGAAAAGAGGAUCAUAGACUAGGUGGGUCUUUGGUCUGAUCCAGCAGGGCUCUUAUGUUCUUAAAUGCUUGAGGCACAGAUGGAAGGAUUAAAUUCCAAUUCCCACAUGAAAAGGUACCAAUCGAGCUUUAACCCUCCUCCAUGUGACUUUUUUCCUUUUUUCAAAACAAUACCCACAGUUUCUAGCCACACAUCUCUCAUACUGUCUAAGUUUUGCCUUUAGCUUUUGUCAGAUUUUUUUGGUUAAAAGAAUGCCAUGAUUUGAUAUUUCAUAUGGUUUUUAAUAUGUUUGUUUUGAGGUUUGUAAUUUAUUAUAUAUGUAAUAAAUAAACGAUAAAUGCAUAAAAUGACUUGGCCCCAACUUUGCUUUAUCCCCCGCCCCUCACAUGAAGAGAAUCCAAGUAUAGCAGAUAAUCUCAUAAAACUCAAUUUACCUUUUUCGACACUGCAACACAUCUGGGAACCAUUCAAGUAGACCUAAUAGGUUAUGAAGUGAGUUGGAAAGCAAAACGCUCUGCCUCUGUAGAUUUUUGGAAUACUGUAGUGAAAAUCGUAGAUCAGGGCCUUAACCUUGGUGAAUAGCCAGAGUAGUAGGUAUCUGAGGCAAUUUUUUUCUAGUUUCCAUGGCAUCAAAACUCAGGGAUCAAGCAAUCCUGCAGUGGGAAAAGUGUCCACCAUGUAGUUUCAGUGCAGACAUUCACAGACCAGUCAGAAUUGUUUACUUCAGGGGUGGGGAACACGUGACCUUCCAGAUGUAGCUGCACUCCAACUCCCAUCAUCACUGAUCAUUGGCUAUGCUGGCUGGAGCUGGUGGAACAUCAUCUGGAAGACCACAUGUUAGCCACUGCUGUUUUUACUAAGUACAAUGGGACUAAGUUCCAAGUGAGUGGGUGCAGGAUUGCAGUCCAAAAGGACAAAUAAGUCUAGCAACAAAGACAAACUCUGGCCCCAUCUGCACUAGACAUUUAAAGCUGUAUCAUACCACUUUAAACAGUCAUGGCUUCCCCUCACAGAGCUGAAAUUCUCAAGAGUGGUUUCAUUUUUUUUUAUUAUUAAUUGUAAGCCAUUUGGAGAAUUUGUUAUUACUGGAAAGACAGGAUGUAAUGGAG